UUGCAGUUUGUUGUGUGGUCAUAUCUGUUAGACUUUUAAGAGAGAUUCCUAUUUUACAGAUGCCUCUUCUAGAACUAUAAUUCCAUUAACUGACUUAAAAGAUUGUCUUUAGACUCUGUGAAGCAAGCGAGGCAAAUCCUAACUGUCGACAACUGCCUUCUGCUAUUUUAGCGAUUUUGUUAACGGUUCAGAAUGUCUGGUGCAUGGUCCUGCCCUUCCAUGCCCAUGUAGCGAAUGAGCCCCUGAGCCCUCCUUCGUUGUCUCCAGGGCUGGAUGAAGCUGCUCACAUUGCUGUGUCAGUUCUGGGCGAGGGCAAGGCUGGAGACUUGGAGGAGCUGAUGCCUCCUGUGGUUGGGUCUACAGCUAGGAGAAAAUUACUCUCCCAGAUGAUGUUAAUUAUGUAAAAAGAGAUGUAUGAAGUACGUAUUCCAUGAAGGCCCUGAGUACUGGAACGGAAGGAACUGAAAUAUCUUGGAAGAAACCAGUAUCCACCUCCCAUUGUGCUACAUGCUCUACAACAGAUAGCACACACACAAAGGAGUCCAAACCAAAGACCAUACAAUCACACUGGGUCUUAGAGGUCUUUCAGAGUUUGAGGAACAACGGUCAUCUCUAUUUUGGAGACGCAGAAGGUGAGGCACAGAAAAUCUUGCGCAGAAACCCACCGUGAACCAGUGGUAGACUUUGGGUCUAUUGACUCCCCAGCUGCUGAUUUAUUCAUUGGUCCAUUCUGUCCUCUUAAACCACUAAGAGAAGAUCUUCUCAGACACACAACAUGGGCCUAGUACACAGGGUACAGUGUCAAAAGCGCACAACCUGAUUCCGUGCUACUUUUUGGUGCCUGCAAUAUUUUAAAUUCACAUAAAGACGACCUAAAAUACCCUCAAAUCAAAACAGCAUUGGCAUACAUGACUACAAUGUGUAGUUUAGUAGACUCAGGCUCAGAGCAAUUGUUUGUGGCAUGCUGAAACUAGAAUUAACUGACUGUUUUAACUCGUAACAAAUUAAGGCUGGAUUCUUGUUUAUAUUAAGGCCUCUAUCCUAUGAAAAUAUAACCGUGCCUCAGUGCAAAUGAGACUCAGGCUCACCUGAAUAGAAAACUCACCUUCCAGUUCCCUUUAAAGUCAAUAAUUUCACUGGCCCUAAAUCAGUAAAAUAACUGUAACCAAACAACUUGUCCUUAUACCAUGGACUAUUUACAAAAGGACCUGAAAACAGUCUGAAGGAAAACCAAUCAUGUUUGUUGAAGAAAAAAGUUAGAUUACACAGAUCCGUUUGCCUGGUAUUAACAUGGAGGACUGCAACAUGACACCACAUCUUUACAUGAAGAUAACUGGCUUGAUGUUUGGAGGUUAUGAGCGUGUCCAGAUAAAUUGUAGCUGCUUACCAACUCUGGAGAUCAAGCCAUCAUGUUAUACUACUGAGAUAAAAUAGAAAUAGAGUUAUUUGGCAUUUAAGUGCUAGACAUAUAGGGCGUAAUUUGCAUAAAGCUAGAGUGUGUUAUAUUCAGAGGUGUAGGAAGAUGACCUCAAGCUCAGUAAAAUGCUACAUGAUCACAGAUUUCUCCUAUUAUUAUUGUUAUUAAAAGUCAUUAUUUGUUGCUUUCUCAGAAUAGCAAUUCUCCAACUUUGCUGCUCUGUAGCCCAACAUUAUUUUAGAAAUUCUCUCCUUUCCUAACACUCUGUUCAUAACAGUUUUGGUUUUAAAAGCUUCACUGUUUUUAGACAACUGUUUAACAUUUGCUGGCUUAGAAUAAACCAAUCUUUGUUCUCUUCA
Molecule: long non-coding RNA, 1776 nt
Filed under: Struthio camelus australis
Lineage: Eukaryota; Metazoa; Chordata; Aves; Struthioniformes; Struthionidae
Description: lncRNA (ENSSCUG00000017274.1)
Source: RNAcentral